UGAAUGUCUAAGCCAUGCGAGUCAUUGUAGCAUACAAGGCAUACGGCUCAGUAACGCGUAGUCAACCUAACCUAUGGACGGGAAUAACCUCGGGAAACUGAGAAUAAUGCCCGAUAGAACACUAUACCUGGAAUGGUUUGUGUUCCAAAUGAUUUAUCGCCAUAGGAUGGGACUGCGGCCUAUCAGUUUGUUGGUGAGGUAAUGGCCCACCAAGACUAUUACAGGUACGGGCUCUGAGAGGAGUAGCCCGGAGAUGGGUACUGAGACACGGACCCAGGCCCUAUGGGGCGCAGCAGGCGAGAAAACUUUGCAAUGUGCGAAAGCACGACAAGGUUAAUCCGAGUGAUUUGUGCUAAACGAAUCUUUUGUUAGUCCUAGAAACACUAACGAAUAAGGGGUGGGCAAGUUCUGGUGUCAGCCGCCGCGGUAAAACCAGCACCUCAAGUGGUUUUUUAUGAUUAUUGGGCCUAAAGCAUCCGUAGCCGGCUCUGUAAGGGUGUCGGUUAAAUCUGUACGCUUAACGUACAGGCUGCCGGGAAUACUGCCAGAGCUAGGGAGUGGGAGAGGUAGACGGUACUCGGUAGAAGUGGCAAAAUGCUUUGAUCUAUCGAUUGACCAUCUGUGACGAGCGCGGUCUAGCAGAAUAUCUUUCUGAACGGUGAGCG
Molecule: ribosomal RNA, 665 nt
Filed under: uncultured archaeon
Lineage: Archaea
Description: bacterial SSU rRNA
Rfam family: Archaeal small subunit ribosomal RNA
Source: RNAcentral